AACGAACGCUGGCGGCAGGCCUAACACAUGCAAGUCGAACGCUGUAGCAAUACAGACUGGCAGACGGGUGAGUAACGCGUGGGAACCUUCCCAGUGGUACGGAUUAGCUCAGGGAACUUGAGGUAAUUCCGUAUAAGCCCCUUGGGGGAAAGAUGUAUCGCCAUUGGAUGGGGCCGCGUCGGAUUAGCUAGUUGCUGAGGUAAUGGCCCACCAAGGCGACGAUCCGUAGCUGGUUUGAGCGAAUGACAAGCCACACUGGGACUGAGACACGGCGCAGACUCCUACGGGAGGCAGCGGUGGGGAGUAUUGGACGAUGGGCGCAAGCGUGAUCCGGCCAUGCCGCGUGAGUGACGGAGGCCUUAGGGUUGUAAAGCUCUUUUAGCAGGGACGAUAAUGACGGUACCUGCAGAAUAAGCUCCGGCUAACUUCGUGCCAGCAGCCGCAGUAA
This 448-nucleotide ribosomal RNA is filed under the name uncultured bacterium. RNAcentral's name for it is "partial 16S ribosomal RNA". It matches the Rfam family "Bacterial small subunit ribosomal RNA", at positions 29 to 523 of the family's 1533-position model. The record is from RNAcentral.